Molecule: long non-coding RNA, 242 nt
Filed under: Ananas comosus (pineapple)
Lineage: Eukaryota; Viridiplantae; Streptophyta; Magnoliopsida; Poales; Bromeliaceae
Description: long non-coding RNA (ACOM_LNC040305)
Source: RNAcentral
AAAUAACUGUGGCGAUGGUGACGAAGGCGACAAUGUGCCGGCACCGAUGAUGACAAUGAUGAUGACGAUGAGGAGGACGAUGACCAUGUGCUGGUGCCGGCAACGAUGACAAAUGAGAAAGGAUUUACUAAAAAAAAUAUUUGAGAAUAUGUAAGAAAAAUGUAGGUGAAAAUGAAAAAGGAUAUUAUUAAAAAAAUAUAUACUUUAUAUUUGAUAAAAGUAUACGUAAGAAUGUGAAAAUA